Pteropus alecto (black flying fox) is the source of this 339-nucleotide long non-coding RNA. RefSeq lists it as uncharacterized. Lineage: Eukaryota; Metazoa; Chordata; Mammalia; Chiroptera; Pteropodidae. The record is from RefSeq and is a predicted model, not a curated record. The transcript has 3 exons.
GGACUCUUUUUGCAGCUGAUGUUGACAUUGAUUGCUGCAGAGGAAAACCUUAAAGCCUCUUCCCCAGAAGACUGUGCUUGGUGGUGCCCCCCGCACUCUACAUGUGUCAAUGACAGCGCCUGUCACUGCGCUCAGGGAUUCAGUUCUUCAUCUGGAAGGAUCAUCACCACAUUCUUCGAGAGAUGUGAUGUUCACCACCCAGUGACAACUCAGAUGAUCAGGACCCAGGAGAAUAUUGUGCCGGAUCAGAGUCGAAUGACAUGGAACAUCCCCAACACACACAAACUUGAAGAAUCUGGUCAACGGAAGAGACUCCCAGCUAGAACACAUGGCAACAGA